AGAUAAUAGAUACCCGGGUAGUCCACGCCGUAAAACGAUGAGCACUAGGUGUCGGGGGGUAUCGACCCCCUCGGUGCCGCAGCCAAACGCGAUAAGUAGCUCCGUCUGGGGACGUACGGCCGCAAGGCUAAAACUACAAAGGAAUUGACGGGGGCCCGGCACAAGCAGCGGAGCGUGUGGUUUAAAUUUCGACGCAACGCGAAGAACCUUACCUGGGCUUGACAUGCGCGUGGUACGACCUCGAAAGGGGGAGGACCCGCAAGGGAGCGCGCACAGAUGCUGCAUGGCUGUCGUCAGCUCGUGCCGUGAGGUGUUGGGUUAAGUCCCGCAACGAGCGCAACCCUCGCUGCCAGUUACGAUGUCUGGCGGGACCGCCGGGUCCAACCCGGAGGAAGGUGGGGAUGACGUCAAGUCAGCAC
RNAcentral lists this ribosomal RNA (419 nucleotides) under uncultured bacterium. RNAcentral's name for it is "bacterial SSU rRNA". It matches the Rfam family "Bacterial small subunit ribosomal RNA", at positions 775 to 1196 of the family's 1533-position model. The record is from RNAcentral.